Molecule: ribosomal RNA, 259 nt
Filed under: Bacillus cereus
Lineage: Bacteria; Bacillati; Bacillota; Bacilli; Caryophanales; Bacillaceae
Also listed under: 5 other names
Description: partial 16S ribosomal RNA
Rfam family: Bacterial small subunit ribosomal RNA
Source: RNAcentral
UUAUUGGAGAGUUUGAUCCUGGCUCAGGAUGAACGCUGGCGGCGUGCCUAAUACAUGCAAGUCGAGCGAAUGGAUUGAGAGCUUGCUCUCAAGAAGUUAGCGGCGGACGGGUGAGUAACACGUGGGUAACCUGCCCAUAAGACUGGGAUAACUCCGGGAAACCGGGGCUAAUACCGGAUAAUAUUUUGAACUGCAUGGUUCGAAAUUGAAAGGCGGCUUCGGCUGUCACUUAUGGAUGGACCCGCGUCGCAUUAGCUAG